GUGGAUUAGAUACCCGGGUAGUCCACGCCCUAAACGAUGUCAACUAGGUGUUGGGUGGGUAAAACCAUUUAGUACCGGAGCUAACGCGUGAAGUUGACCGCCUGGGGAGUACGGCCGCAAGGUUAAAACUCAAAGGAAUUGACGGGGACCCGCACAAGCGGUGGAUGAUGUGGAUUAAUUCGAUGCAACGCGAAAAACCUUACCUACCCUUGACAUGUCAGGAAGUCUUGAGAGAUUGAGAUGUGCCCGAAAGGGAACCUGAACACAGGUGCUGCACGGCCGUCGACAACU
RNAcentral lists this ribosomal RNA (291 nucleotides) under uncultured bacterium. RNAcentral describes it as "partial 16S ribosomal RNA". It matches the Rfam family "Bacterial small subunit ribosomal RNA", at positions 773 to 1060 of the family's 1533-position model. The record is from RNAcentral.